UUGAAAGAUUAGGCACUACCCUCC
Molecule: non-coding RNA, 24 nt
Filed under: Mus musculus (house mouse)
Lineage: Eukaryota; Metazoa; Chordata; Mammalia; Rodentia; Muridae
Source: RNAcentral